Molecule: ribosomal RNA, 253 nt
Filed under: uncultured bacterium
Lineage: Bacteria
Description: partial 16S ribosomal RNA
Rfam family: Bacterial small subunit ribosomal RNA
Source: RNAcentral
UACGUAGGGUGCAAGCGUUGUCCGGAAUUAUUGGGCGUAAAGAGCUCGUAGGCGGCUUGUCGCGUCGGCUGUGAAAACCCGGGGCUCAACCCCGGGCCUGCAGUCGAUACGGGCAGGCUAGAGUCCGGCAGGGGAGACUGGAAUUCCUGGUGUAGCGGUGAAAUGCGCAGAUAUCAGGAGGAACACCGGUGGCGAAGGCGGGUCUCUGGGCCGGAACUGACGCUAAGGCGCGAAAGCCAGGGGAGCGAACGGG